RNAcentral lists this ribosomal RNA (253 nucleotides) under uncultured bacterium. RNAcentral's name for it is "partial 16S ribosomal RNA". It matches the Rfam family "Bacterial small subunit ribosomal RNA", at positions 524 to 776 of the family's 1533-position model. The record is from RNAcentral.
UACAGAGGUCCCAAGCGUUGUUCGGAUUCAUUGGGCGUAAAGGGUGCGUAGGCGGCGCGGUAAGUCGGGUGUGAAAUCUCGGGGCUUAACUCCGAAACUGCAUUCGAUACUGCCGUGCUUGAGGACUGGAGAGGAGACUGGAAUUUACGGUGUAGCGGUGAAAUGCGUAGAUAUCGUAAGGAAGACCAGUGGCGAAGGCAGCUCGCUGGGACGGUACUGACGCUGAGGCGCGAAAGCGUGGGGAGCAAACAGG